RNAcentral lists this ribosomal RNA (348 nucleotides) under Drusus melanchaetes. Its description in RNAcentral is "partial small subunit ribosomal RNA". The record is from RNAcentral. Lineage: Eukaryota; Metazoa; Arthropoda; Insecta; Trichoptera; Limnephilidae.
UAGUAAGAGUUAUUUGCUUGAAACUUAAAGAAUCUGGCAGUAUUUUAAUCUAGUUAGAGGAACCUGUUUAUUAAUUGAUACUCCACGAUUAAUUUUACUUUAAUUAUUAAAUUUGUAUAUCAUUGUUAUAAAAAUUUUUUUUACAAAAAAAAAUUUAAUUAUUUUUAUUAAAAUUUAUAUCAAAUCAAGAUGCAGUUUAUAUUAAAGAAUUUAAUGGGUUAUCAUGAAAAAAUUUAUGGAAAUGAUAUGAAAUUAAAUUUAUAAAGUAGAUUUAUAAGUAAUUUAAAUAAUUUUAUUUAAAUGAUUUAAGUUCUAAAAUAUGUACAUAUUGCCCGUCAUUUUCAUUUU